UUAAAUGGAUGAAAUAUGAAGUUUUAUUAAAAGAAAAAGGGGUAAAAAGAACAAAGUUUUGUCCAUCUUUGUUCAUCAUAGCUGAAAGUUAGAGAAGAGAAAGGAGAGGAGAAAGCUCUUGAGUAUUUGGUCAUUAGGAGGAGGAAAAUUGAAGGCGGUUCGUGUGUGGAUCUCGUCAGCAUAUCGUUGCAAAUAGUACGCGCGAUUUCGUACAUUUUGAUAAUUUGGGCUUAAUGGGCCAAAGAUCGGGUUCAUGGGCCAACGGGCCCAAUUUGGUAAGUAUACGCGGUAAGUGUUCUGAUAGUACGUAAAUAGUUAGGAUAUGCAUGAAAACCCUGAAAGUAGCUAAAUUACUAUAAUACCCCUAUGUAUGGAAAAUUACUGUUAUACCCCUAGGUGCAAAAUUACCGUUAUAUCUCUAGGGUUAAUUUUGACUGAAAAGCAUGACGAUCUGAUUCUGUAUGAUGUAUGCCAUGAUUAUAUAUCUGUUGCAUUGGGACAUGGGUUAUAUUAUGGAGG
Molecule: long non-coding RNA, 519 nt
Organism: Gossypium arboreum
Lineage: Eukaryota; Viridiplantae; Streptophyta; Magnoliopsida; Malvales; Malvaceae
Exons: 3
Source: RefSeq, a predicted model, not a curated record